CAAGGUGAAACCUAAUUGGCCUGAAGAAGAGCUUGCGUCUGAUUAGCUAGUUGGUGGGGUAAGAGCCUACCAAGGCGACGAUCAGUAGCUGGUCUGAGAGGAUGAGCAGCCACACUGGGACUGAGACACGGCCCAGACUCCUACGGGAGGCAGCAGUGGGGAAUUUUCCGCAAUGGGCGAAAGCCUGACGGAGCAACGCCGCGUGAGGGAGGAAGGUCUUUGGAUUGUAAACCUCUUUUCUCAAGGAAGAAGUUCUGACGGUACUUGAGGAAUCAGCCUCGGCUAACUCCGUGCCAGCAGCCGCGGUAAUACGGGGGAGGCAAGCGUUAUCCGGAAUUAUUGGGCGUAAAGCGUCCGCAGGUGGUCAGCCAAGUCUGCC
RNAcentral lists this ribosomal RNA (379 nucleotides) under Microcystis aeruginosa. RNAcentral's name for it is "bacterial SSU rRNA". It matches the Rfam family "Bacterial small subunit ribosomal RNA", at positions 196 to 593 of the family's 1533-position model. Lineage: Bacteria; Bacillati; Cyanobacteriota; Cyanophyceae; Chroococcales; Microcystaceae. The record is from RNAcentral.